RNAcentral lists this long non-coding RNA (680 nucleotides) under Homo sapiens (human). Its description in RNAcentral is "HSALNT0313151". Lineage: Eukaryota; Metazoa; Chordata; Mammalia; Primates; Hominidae. The record is from RNAcentral.
UGCAACUUUGAAGCUGGAUCCCUUGCUGGCUGCAGGGAAAUGAGAACCCUGCCACUGGUAUUAGGUGGGGAAAUGAUAGCCCCUAGCAUGCUAUAGCAGUGCAGUUGUUAGAACUUUUACAAGUUCUGAGCUGGAAUAGGACACGAGUGGAAGAUGUGCUGUUCUUGACGUCCUUACUUCUGUCCUCAGAAUCAUAUCUUCGCAUCUGAAAGAAGGCAACAGCAUUGAGCAACAAUCUGGGACUCUAUUUGAUAUCUUCCCUUGAGAAGUGUUAAAUGUUGCCAUAAUCUUGACAGUUCAAAAGUUAGUCAUGUGGUUGAUAUUUUACCAAUGAGAUGAAUGUGACUGUAAUAUGGGCAAAUCCCACCUACCAUAAAAGCUGGCAAUACUUGCCUAAUAUUGAAGGAAGGAGACAUUUAGAGCAAGCCAGGAAGCUGGAACACCGGAUCAGGAACAGACACUUCUCCGCAAGUUUAGAGUUUGGUAUUUCUCAAGUCCUGGCCUGAGGGAUGUUUACUCUCAGGUUAUACAAAGUCCCAGCUUGGGUUCUGGAAAAAUUGAACUGACAACUUUGCCUGAAAGAAGUUUCUUGCUAACUCCUAGGAAAGAAGGUGAGAAUGAGGCCACUGACGUCAUCUUGGCUUGGUUUACUUAAGCCUGGGCAAAGAGGGAAAAGGGCA